CAAUAGCUGACCAUCCUUCAUUUCAAUUGUAUGGAAAAAGGUAGGUGCCGCAGGGUGAACUACAUUAUAGUAGUGAUACAAUAUACAAAUUACUUAGUCUUUUACGAAUAAAUUCAUUGGUAAUUUGUUAGGGUAUUGCUAUUCAGGGUUGGUUGGUUGAAAUGGUUUUACCAACUCCAGUAGAGCCCUUUUUACAUUAAUUGCCGGUGUAUUGUACGGUCCGUACCGAGCAGAGCAAGCGAAGCAUGCUUGUUUCAUCAAUAUAACAAGAUAUACAAAAACACUUUGGUUUUGCACAAAAUAAAAUCGGGAAUGCAUACUUUUUCAUUUCUC
RNAcentral lists this small RNA (333 nucleotides) under Histoplasma capsulatum var. duboisii H88. RNAcentral's name for it is "Histoplasma capsulatum H88 hypothetical RNA". The record is from RNAcentral. Lineage: Eukaryota; Fungi; Ascomycota; Eurotiomycetes; Onygenales; Ajellomycetaceae.